RNAcentral lists this ribosomal RNA (374 nucleotides) under uncultured organism. Its description in RNAcentral is "partial 16S ribosomal RNA". It matches the Rfam family "Bacterial small subunit ribosomal RNA", at positions 527 to 896 of the family's 1533-position model. The record is from RNAcentral.
GUAGGUGGCAAGCGUUGUCCGGAAUUAUUGGGCGUAAAGCGCGCGCAGGCGGUUCUUUAAGUCUGAUGUGAAAGCCCACGGGCUCAACCGUGGAGGGUCAUUGGAAACUGGAGAACUUGAGUACAGAAGAGGAAAGCGGAAUUCCACGUGUAGCGGUGAAAUGCGUAGAGAUGUGGAGGAACACCAGUGGCGAAGGCGGCUUUCUGGUCUGUAACUGACGCUGAGGCGCGAAAGCGUGGGGAGCAAACAGGAUUAGAUACCCUGGUAGUCCACGCCGUAAACGAUGAGUGCUAAGUGUUAGGGGGGUUUCCGCCCCUUAGUGCUGCAGCUAACGCAUUAAGCACUCCGCCUGGGGAGUACGGCCGCAAAGGCUG